UGCAAGUGAGAGAAAGCCAUUGAUGAUUGU
RNAcentral lists this non-coding RNA (30 nucleotides) under Mus musculus (house mouse). Lineage: Eukaryota; Metazoa; Chordata; Mammalia; Rodentia; Muridae. The record is from RNAcentral.